CAGUGGGGAAUCUUAGACAAUGGGCGCAAGCCUGAUCUAGCCAUGCCGCGUGAGCGAUGAAGGCCUUAGGGUUGUAAAGCUCUUUCAGCGAGGAAGAUAAUGACUGUACUCGCAGAAGAAGCCCCGGCUAACUCCGUGCCAGCAGCCGCGGUAAUACGGAGGGGGCUAGCGUUGUUCGGAAUUACUGGGCGUAAAGCGCACGUAGGCGGACUGGAAAGUCAGGGGUGAAAUCCCGGGGCUCAACCCCGGAACUGCCUUUGAAACUCCCAGUCUUGAGGUCGAGAGAGGUGAGUGGAAUUCCGAGUGUAGAGGUGAAAUUCGUAGAUAUUCGGAGGAACACCAGUGGCGAAGGCGGCUCACUGGCUCGAUACUGACGCUGAGGUGCGAAAGCGUGGGGAGCAAACAGGAUUAGA
This 413-nucleotide ribosomal RNA is filed under the name uncultured bacterium. RNAcentral's name for it is "bacterial SSU rRNA". It matches the Rfam family "Bacterial small subunit ribosomal RNA", at positions 352 to 782 of the family's 1533-position model. The record is from RNAcentral.